AGCGAACGCUGGCGGCAGGCCUAACACAUGCAAGUCGAGCGCCCCGCAAGGGGAGCGGCAGACGGGAGAGUAACACGUGGGAACGUACCCUUCAGUUCGGAACAACCAAGGGAAACUUUGGCUAAUACCGGAUACGUCCGAAAGGAGAAAGAUUUAUCGCUGAAGGAUCGGCCCGCGUCUGAUUAGCUAGUUGGUGGGGUAACGGCCCACCAAGGCGACGAUCAGUAGCUGGUCUGAGAGGAUGAUCAGCCUCACUGGGACUGAGACACGGCCCAGACUCCUACGGGAGGCAGCAGUGGGGAAUAUUGGACAAUGGGCGCAAGCCUGAUCCAGCCAUGCCGCGUGGAUGAUGAAGGCCCUAGGGUUGUAAAGUCCUUUCGGCGGGGAAGAUAAUGACGGUACCCGCAGAAGAAGCCCCGGCUAACUUCGUGCCAGCCGCCGCCGUAA
Molecule: ribosomal RNA, 447 nt
Filed under: uncultured bacterium
Lineage: Bacteria
Description: partial 16S ribosomal RNA
Rfam family: Bacterial small subunit ribosomal RNA
Source: RNAcentral